UGUCCUGGUCAGAGAACGACGGCGGCAGGUACACACCAAUAGAGCGGGCAUCCCUUUGGUGUCAGCGGCAGACGGGUGAGUAACGCGUGGGAACGUGCCCUUCGGUUCGGAAUAACUCAGGGAAACUUGAGCUAAUACCGGAUACGCCCUUAUGGGGAAAGGCUUGACUGCCGAAGGAUCGGCCCGCGUCUGAUUAGCUAGUUGGUGAGGUUAUGGCUCACCAAGGCGACGAUCAGUAGCUGGUCUGAGAGGAUGAUCAGCCACACUGGGACUGAGACACGGCCCAGACUCCUACGGGAGGCAGCAGUGGGGAAUAUUGGACAAUGGGGGCAACCCUGAUCCAGCCAUGCCGCGUGAGUGAUGACGGCCUUAGGGUUGUAAAGCUCUUUUCUCCGGGACGAUAAUGACGGUACCGGAGGAAUAAGCCCCGGCUAACUUCGUGCCAGCAGCCGCGGUAAUACGAAGGGGGCUAGCGUUGCUCGGAAUCACUGGGCGUAAAGGGCGCGUAGGCGGCUGAUUUAGUCGAGGGUGAAAGCCCGUGGCUCAACCACGGAAUGGCCUUCGAUACUGAUUGGCUUGAGACCGGAAGAGGACAGCGGAACUGCGAGUGUAGAGGUGAAAUUCGUAGAUAUUCGCAAGAACACCAGUGGCGAAGGGCU
Molecule: ribosomal RNA, 659 nt
Filed under: Methylobacterium platani
Lineage: Bacteria; Pseudomonadati; Pseudomonadota; Alphaproteobacteria; Hyphomicrobiales; Methylobacteriaceae
Description: bacterial SSU rRNA
Rfam family: Bacterial small subunit ribosomal RNA
Source: RNAcentral